AUGACUUUUGGGGAACAGAGGUCGGCCCGUAACGCUGCCUUUCUCACACGACUGAAGAGCCGCACUCAGAGCCCCCAGUUCCCCUGUCCUUGCCCCUCCCCCAACUUUGCUGCUUCCCCAGUUUGGGACCCACAGGACGGGGGCACCAGGAGUGGAGAAGUGGGGUCGCUGAUAUUCAGGCUCUGCUCUGCGGCUGUCACUUUGGGUCUUAGCGGCUCCUGUGCUCUGGGCACCCGAGGUGGCUGGGUCAUGGAUCCUGUGCAUCCUGGCCCCCAUCUCAUCCCAGAGCAGAGGAUCCCCCCGCCCUCGUGGAUCACCCACUCCGGUCUUAGUGAGCACCUCCCUCGAGCUUCAUCUCCUCACAUCCCCACAUCCUGCAGAAAUCGCCCCACGGUUCUGUCCACAGCCCUGCUUCUGGCUGCUGAUGUGAUGGGAAGUAAGACCCCCUCCUGUGGGAGCCUCCUCCCUGGGGGGGGCCCCCUACAUGGUGUCUGUCGAAGGUGGGGGAGCCUCACCCUGACUCCUCCUGAAAUCCCACCAGGCCUCCUGUCUCACAGCCAUCUAGGACCUGGGUUCUCACUCCAUUGGGAUUAUUGCCUGUCUGUGGACACGGCUUUUUCCAGCACAAAGCGCCUAUGCAGACGGCUGUUCAUCCGUGUGGCUCGUGCCGCAGGGACAGGUGCAGACAAGCCCUUUUCCAGGCCCGGGUGGGGUGACGGGCCGCCCCUGGGCCCAGGCCUCCUGGUCCCCCUGGCAGGGCCGGCCCCAGAGGCGAGGUCAGCAAGGCUCCAGACACAACCUCCCCUUGGGAGUGGGAUCUCCAGUCGAGCACAAGGGGACUCGAGUGAAGAAUGGACAUCUUCCCACAUGCUCCACAGCAACACGGGCUCAGCACUGGGCUGCGAGGGGCUGAGGGGCCGUGGAAACACUUCGAGACUGAACAUUCCCUAUGUGACCGUGCGGGGAGACGGGAGGGUCCCCGGCAGACACCCGGGAAGCAUGCAGGCGGUGGCGAGAGACCCCAGGUGGGAGGUACACAGAGUC
RNAcentral lists this long non-coding RNA (1044 nucleotides) under Felis catus (domestic cat). Its description in RNAcentral is "lncRNA (ENSFCAG00000047067.1)". The record is from RNAcentral. Lineage: Eukaryota; Metazoa; Chordata; Mammalia; Carnivora; Felidae.